RNAcentral lists this long non-coding RNA (936 nucleotides) under Pan troglodytes (chimpanzee). RNAcentral's name for it is "lincRNA". Lineage: Eukaryota; Metazoa; Chordata; Mammalia; Primates; Hominidae. The record is from RNAcentral.
CCAGGACCAUUACACUGGGGACCGGCUUCUCUGCUCUCCCGUUAUGGGGGUCGGGGGAAUGAUGGGUCAAGAGUCUUCCGAAGAAAGCGAGAAAGGAACAGGCGCCUUCAAAAGCCCACUUGGCGAUGGGUUACAGUAAGAGCGUUGCUCCCUGCUUGGCUGAGCACUGCAGAGUUUCACGCCUCUAAACCCCGCCUCUUCUUGCAACCUGUGUUGGCCUCAUCUACCCAGCAACUGCGACGUCACACGACCUGGGCCUCCCUGAAUGGGAGAUAUUUACUAGGCAAUCCCGCCUACUGUUCUGAGGUUUCCCCUCCAGAUGCCGCUUCAGAGCCAGGCGAGCCAGGAAGGACCAGCGGGCGAGGUGGAAGUCUGCAUUAUCACGAGGAGCUUGGAAAGGAGGUAACACACUCAAUGCAAAUUUCAAGUAACUCAUCCUGGAGGCAGCUGCCUACUCUGCAGCUGUGGUUCUCCACCACAGAGAGAAGAAAAGGGAGGGAGAUGGAGUGCGCAGGUCUGAGAAGGCUUUCAUUCUGGAGCAUCUGCAGGAGCCUGCACCAUGGCCCAGUAGCACCCCUUUUUCUCCAUGAGCUGCUGGUGGGUUCCCCCCUCCCGGAUAGCGCCUCCUUCCAGAAAGAGGAUGUGGUCAGCCUGCUCCACCAGGCUGAGGUGCUGGGUGAUGAGAAGCACUGAGCGGGAGUACCGCUCAGGGCUUUCGUACAGGAGCUGCUCCACCUGAGGAAAGACAUCGGACCGUCAGAGCCGGGGACUACCCUCAGCCCAGGGAGACACCUGUGUUUCCAGGGCUGGGACUGACCUCACAGGAUCACUGCUGGCUCUGCUAACAACCCCAAGGACACCAACGCUUCCCAUUCUGAGUACUUCUCCACAAACCCUUUGUUUCAUUAAGGACUGUUUUACAUGAAGGGUGCAAAA